RNAcentral lists this ribosomal RNA (253 nucleotides) under uncultured bacterium. RNAcentral's name for it is "partial 16S ribosomal RNA". It matches the Rfam family "Bacterial small subunit ribosomal RNA", at positions 524 to 776 of the family's 1533-position model. The record is from RNAcentral. RNAcentral also lists the same sequence under 1 other name.
UACGUAGGUGGCAAGCGUUGUCCGGAUUUAUUGGGUUUAAAGGGUGCGUAGGCGGUCAUGUAAGUCAGCGGUGAAAUCCGGCAGCUCAACUGUCGAUGUGCCAUUGAUACUGCAUGACUUGAGUACUGAUGAGGUAGGCGGAAUUGACGGUGUAGCGGUGAAAUGCUUAGAUAUCGUCAAGAACACCGAUAGCGAAGGCAGCUUACUAAGCAGUAACUGACGCUGAUGCACGAAAGUGUGGGGAUCAAACAGG